UGCUGUCUUGCAUCUACCACCUU
Molecule: non-coding RNA, 23 nt
Filed under: Rattus norvegicus (Norway rat)
Lineage: Eukaryota; Metazoa; Chordata; Mammalia; Rodentia; Muridae
Source: RNAcentral